AAACUUUACACUGCGCGAAAGCGCGAUAAGGGGACCUCGAGUGCGUGCGCAAUGCGUACGCUUUUCAUAUGCCUAAAAAGCAUGUGGAAUAAGGGCCGGGCAAGACCGGUGCCAGCCGCCGCGGUAACACCGGCGGCUCAAGUGGUGGCCGCUUUUAUUGGGCUUAAAGGGUCCGUAGCCGGGCCAGUUAGUCCUCUGGGAAAUCUUACGGCUUAACCGUAAGGCUGCCAAAGGAUACUGCUGGCCUUGGGACCGGGAGAGGCAAGAGGUACCUCAGGGGUAGGAGUGAAAUCCUGUAAUCCUUGAGGGACCGCCAGUGGCGAAGGCGUCUUGCUAGAACGGGUCCGACGGUGAGGGACGAAAGCUAGGGGCACGAACCGG
This 381-nucleotide ribosomal RNA is filed under the name uncultured archaeon. RNAcentral's name for it is "bacterial SSU rRNA". It matches the Rfam family "Archaeal small subunit ribosomal RNA", at positions 345 to 727 of the family's 1478-position model. The record is from RNAcentral.